This 73-nucleotide transfer RNA is filed under the name Methanosaeta sp. PtaU1.Bin060. RNAcentral's name for it is "tRNA-Cys". It matches the Rfam family "tRNA". Rfam says of the family: Transfer RNA (tRNA) molecules are approximately 80 nucleotides in length. The record is from RNAcentral. Lineage: Archaea; Methanobacteriati; Methanobacteriota; Methanomicrobia; Methanotrichales; Methanotrichaceae.
GCCAAGGUGGCGGAGCGGCUACGCAAAUGCCUGCAGAGCAUUACCACUCCGGUUCGAAUCCGGACCUUGGCUC